AUCUUUAUGCAUGGCUAGGGAAGAAGAAGGUGUGUGUGAAUUAUUGGCCAUGCAUGUGUGAGCAGUAUUGUGUUUCCUCAUAAGCCUCACGUUUUCCGUGGCAAAUUAAUCAAAUUAGAAGAAGAGGCACAUAGAGAAAAUUGGAAGUGGGGUUUGGUUAAUUUGUGUGAUUGUUAAAGAGAAAGAAGAAAGGGAAUCACAUAUUUAUAAGUACAAAAGAAGAAUAAAUAAAAGGGAAAUUUUGGAAAGGAAACAAAACAAUAAUAUGAAGCUAUGUCUUUUGGGAGCAAGGAUUAGAUGAAUUCUUGUCUGACAAAUGUAGAGAGAUCAAAGAGAGUCAAUAAAGUAAUCAGAACUCAAUGGUCCCCUGAUUUCCCACUUUUGAUUUUAAUAUAUACAAAGAUAGAGAAAUGUUGUUAAUGGCUAUGUAUGUGUGUAUUUUAUUUAUUGUGCAUCAUACCUUGAGGGAGGGAGAAUGGAUGUGGACACAUUUUCUUAUUCAAUUACCUUCCCUGAAAUUACCAUAGCAUUCCACGUAUAAGCAACUUGUUAGUCU
RNAcentral lists this long non-coding RNA (556 nucleotides) under Glycine max (soybean). RNAcentral describes it as "long non-coding RNA (GMAX_LNC001070)". The record is from RNAcentral. Lineage: Eukaryota; Viridiplantae; Streptophyta; Magnoliopsida; Fabales; Fabaceae.